AAUUCAACAAAGUCCUGGUAAUCCUUUCAUUUUCAAACCAGAGGCUCACUCAAAGAGGUUGUUAGAGCAAUCAGGACAGUAAAUAUUCUCUUUUUGGCAAGUAAGCCUUUCUCAAGGGUCUCCAAAACUGCAAGUUACCAUUAGUGAUGAGGAUGAUCGCACUCUAAAACUGAUAACCUUGCUCUCACACCAAAAUUGACGUAAACCAGGAAUUUAGGACAGAACUACAACAAAAGUUGAAAAAGUUUGGAAGGAGUACAAGUCCUUCAAAGGACCUCAAAAGAUCUAAUCCUCGAAAUUAGCACAUUGGUUCUGGAAUAAUGUCGUGGUUUCAAAUAGAGCUCAAUGGCAAAAAUGGCUCCACAAAACCAACCCCAACUAGUUUGGGAU
This 390-nucleotide unclassified non-coding RNA is filed under the name Hevea brasiliensis (rubber tree). Lineage: Eukaryota; Viridiplantae; Streptophyta; Magnoliopsida; Malpighiales; Euphorbiaceae. The record is from RNAcentral.